RNAcentral lists this ribosomal RNA (253 nucleotides) under uncultured bacterium. RNAcentral describes it as "partial 16S ribosomal RNA". It matches the Rfam family "Bacterial small subunit ribosomal RNA", at positions 524 to 776 of the family's 1533-position model. RNAcentral also lists the same sequence under 1 other name. The record is from RNAcentral.
UACGGAGGGUGCAAGCGUUAUCCGGAUUUACUGGGUUUAAAGGGUGCGUAGGUGGACAUUUAAGUCAGCGGUGAAAUCUCCGGGCUUAACUCGGAAAUUGCCAUUGAUACUAUUUGUCUUGAAUUAUCUGGAGGUGAGCGGAAUAUGUCAUGUAGCGGUGAAAUGCUUAGAUAUGACAUAGAACACCAAUUGCGAAGGCAGCUCACUACGGAUAUAUUGACACUGAGGCACGAAAGCGUGGGGAUCAAACAGG